UACGAAGGGGGCUAGCGUUGCUCGGAAUGACUGGGCGUAAAGGGCGCGUAGGCGGUUUGUACAGUCAGAUGUGAAAUUCCCGGGCUCAACCUGGGGGCUGCAUUUGAUACGUAUGGACUUGAGUGGGGAAGAGGGUCGUGGAAUUCCCAGUGUAGAGGUGAAAUUCGUAGAUAUUGGGAAGAACACCGGUGGCGAAGGCGGCCAUCUGGACCGCAACUGACGCUGAGGCGCGAAAGCGUGGGGAGCAAACAGGG
RNAcentral lists this ribosomal RNA (254 nucleotides) under uncultured bacterium. RNAcentral describes it as "partial 16S ribosomal RNA". It matches the Rfam family "Bacterial small subunit ribosomal RNA", at positions 524 to 777 of the family's 1533-position model. The record is from RNAcentral.